This 1201-nucleotide long non-coding RNA is filed under the name Oreochromis niloticus (Nile tilapia). RNAcentral describes it as "lncRNA (ENSONIG00000039666.1)". The record is from RNAcentral. Lineage: Eukaryota; Metazoa; Chordata; Actinopteri; Cichliformes; Cichlidae.
AUGGCAACAAAAGUCAAAAUACAUGUGAUGGUUUCUAUCCUCUUCGAUUCCAGGCCUGUGAAGAUGGUGGCCGAUUUGAAGGUUUGGACCUCAAGGGGCUUGCAGCUCUCACCGCUGACACUGUCGUCAGCAUUGUCCACAAGAGACUGGCCGAUAGACCUGCAGAGGAGGCCCGUGAAGAGGUGGUGCAGUUCUUCAAGAGGCCAGAUAAUGACACAAAUCAUGAAAUGGAAGAAAGUUUAGGAUGGCUGCUGUUAAAGUCUCUCUUGCUGCUUACAGCUGACAGCUCAGUGAGUCGUUAACAGUUUUAAAGCAUAGUUAAGUUUCAGUCGGGUUACUACUCCAUAUUUUAGUUGAACAGGUGAAUUAAUUAUGUGUUUGUUUUCAGGAUAUACUGUCAUGUAUAAAUCAAGAACUCCCUGCUGCUUUGAUGAAAUGUCUGUACCUUCUAGUGUGCCUUCCAUCUAAAAAGGAGAACAUCAAAAUAGAAGAAACCUUUCAGGAAACAUUAACACAGGUUAGUAACAACUGACUUCUCCCUUUAGGGCAAUGGGUUAUUUUUAUUUCUGUGAGUUUUGGUUUUUUGUUGUGAAAACUCAAAUUUUCUUCUUUCCCCAGUUUUUGACUAACCAUACUUCUCUCUUCUUUCUCUUUUAGGUUAUUCUUCAGCUGUGUAGGCUGCCAGUCAAUGUGGAGAUACUGGUAGAGACUCAGGAACUGCAGUGUCUUAUUAUUGGUCUCACAUCAUUAUGGGAUCAGACCAGUGCCACCUGGAGGUAUCAAGCCUCCCGCAUCCUCAAAGCAGUCUCUGCCGUAGCAACAAGCAACACUGUCCCCAGCUUACUAGGUAAGAUACAACAAAAAUAUUUGCAGUAAUUAGUAUUUUUGUAGCGAGUUUAGUCAUUUAAUUGAUUUGCUUCUUACUUGUAAUAGGCCUCAUUACACUCUUAAAUAUUGUGUCAAAACAGGAUGCAUAGGAGCAUGAGUGGGAAGUGAUUUGUGCACUAAUGAAUUAAUUAUAGCAAGAAACAUGAUCAAACAUCUCAACAGAGUUGUACUGAAAGUCACAUGAAGCCUUAAUAAGCACAAAUAAUUCAUUCGAAUGUUCCAGUGCACAUGGGUUUACUCAGAUUUAUUUUGGAUACCAAGAUGCUAUCAACACUUUUCCAUGUGGUAUUUUGCUCAAUUGACUCUGCACCGC